RNAcentral lists this ribosomal RNA (458 nucleotides) under uncultured bacterium. Its description in RNAcentral is "bacterial SSU rRNA". It matches the Rfam family "Bacterial small subunit ribosomal RNA", at positions 340 to 786 of the family's 1533-position model. The record is from RNAcentral.
UACGGGAGGCAGCAGUGGGGAAUAUUGCACAAUGGGCGAAAGCCUGAUGCAGCUAUGCCGCGUGUAUGAAGAAGGCCUUAGGGUUGUAAAGUACUUUCAGCAGGGGAGGAAAGAAAUAAAACUAAUAAUUUUAUUUUGUGACGUUACCUGAAGAAGAAGCACCGGCUAACUCCGUGCCAGCAGCCGCGGGUAAUACGGAGGGUGCAAGCGUUAAUCAGAAUUACUGGGCGUAAAGAGCGCGUAGGUGGUUUUUUAAGUCAGAUGUGAAAUCCCUAGGCUUAACCUAGGAACUGCAUUUUGAAACUGAAAAACUAGAGUAUCGUAGAGGGAGGUAGAAUUCUAGGUGUAGCGGUGAAAUGCGUAGAUAUCUGGAGGAUACCUGUGGCGAAAGCGGCCUCUAAACGAAUACUGACACUGAGGUGCGAAAGCGUGGGGAGCGAAACAGGGAUUUAGAUACC